Molecule: ribosomal RNA, 804 nt
Filed under: Tentorium semisuberites
Lineage: Eukaryota; Metazoa; Porifera; Demospongiae; Polymastiida; Polymastiidae
Description: eukaryotic LSU rRNA
Rfam family: Eukaryotic large subunit ribosomal RNA
Source: RNAcentral
UUAAGCAUAUCAAUAAGCGGAGGAAAAGAAACUAACAAGUAUUCCCUCAGUAACGGCGAGCGAAGUGGGAAGAGCUCGAGCCUGAAAUCUCUGGCAGUCACUGUCAGCGAAUUGUGGCCGGGAGAGGCAGCUUAAGCUCUGACUGGCGCUGUCGAAGUUGACCUGGAAAGGCACGUCGUAGAGGGUGAGAGCCCCGUGUGCGACACCGCCGGGCAGAGCUACUACUGUCUUCGGAGAGUCGGGUUGUUUGGGAAUGCAGCCCAAAGUGGGUGGUAAACUCCAUCUAAAGCUAAAUACUGGCACGAGACCGAUAGCAAACAAGUACCAUGAGGGAAAGGUGAAAAGUACUUUGAAAAGAGAGUCAAAAAGACCGCGAAACCGUUAGGAGGGAAACGAAUGCGGCUAAAUUAGCUCUGUUUCAGGCUCAGGAGAUGUUGGCGGCUGUGCCGGUGUCGUUGCAGCUUCGGCGCUACGAUUCGGAUAUGUUGCCAUCUCCUCUGCAUUCCUGUGGAGAGCUGGCCAACGACGGUCGCUCCUGGCUCAGAAGGGCAGUUGGGCAGGUGGCUCUUUGCUCGCAGAGAGAACUUACAGCCAGCCGUCUGGCAGUCUGGGAACGACCGAGGAGAGUUGUGAAUCUUCACACGUGCAGUGCAAGCCCUCCGGGGCCGCGUCGCUUCUGUUCGUUUGGGCAUCGGGCUGUGGACUGCUUGCAGUGUUCAGUGACGACUGUCUGCUCGUGCGGGAGAUCGGCGACGUCUUGCGCUGUAGUUGUUGGUGCUCAAAUGGCUGCAUCCGACCCGUCUU